UACGAAGGGGGCUAGCGUUGUUCGGAAUUACUGGGCGUAAAGCGCGUGUAGGCGGGGCUUUAAGUCAGGGGGGAAAUGCCAAGGCUCAACCUUGGAACUGCCUUUGAUACUGGAGAUCUUGAGUCCGGGAGAGGUGAGUGGAAUUGCGAGUAUAGAGGUGAAAUUCGUAGAUAUUCGCAAGAACACCAGUGGCGAAGGCGGCUCACUGGCCCGGAACUGACGCUGAGACGCGAAAGCGUGGGGAGCAAACAGG
This 253-nucleotide ribosomal RNA is filed under the name uncultured bacterium. RNAcentral describes it as "partial 16S ribosomal RNA". It matches the Rfam family "Bacterial small subunit ribosomal RNA", at positions 524 to 776 of the family's 1533-position model. The record is from RNAcentral.